GACGAACGCUGGCGGCGUGCCUAAUACAUGCAAGUUGAGCGCUGAAGGUUGGUACUUGUACCAACUGGAUGAGCAGCGAACGGGUGAGUAACGCGUGGGGAAUCUGCCUUUGAGCGGGGGACAACAUUUGGAAACGAAUGCUAAUACCGCAUAAAAACUUUAAACACAAGUUUUAAGUUUGAAAGAUGCAAUUGCAUCACUCAAAGAUGAUCCCGCGUUGUAUUAGCUAGUUGGUGAGGUAAAGGCUCACCAAGGCGAUGAUACAUAGCCGACCUGGGAGGGUGAUCGGCCACAUUGGGACUGAGACACGGCCCAAACUCCUACGGGAGGCAGCAGUAGGGAAUCUUCGGCAAUGGACGAAAGUCUUACCGAGCAACGCCGCGUGAGUGAAGAAGGUUUUCGGAUCGUAAAACUCUGUUGGUAGAGAAGAACGUUGGUGAGAGUGGAAAGCUCAUCAAGUGACGGUAACUACCCAGAAAGGGACGGCUAACUACGUG
This 497-nucleotide ribosomal RNA is filed under the name uncultured bacterium. RNAcentral describes it as "partial 16S ribosomal RNA". It matches the Rfam family "Bacterial small subunit ribosomal RNA", at positions 28 to 507 of the family's 1533-position model. The record is from RNAcentral.